RNAcentral lists this ribosomal RNA (1255 nucleotides) under metagenome. RNAcentral describes it as "bacterial LSU rRNA". It matches the Rfam family "Bacterial large subunit ribosomal RNA", at positions 1648 to 2925 of the family's 2925-position model. The record is from RNAcentral.
CGCAAACCGACACAGGUAGAUAGGAAGAAGAUUCUAAGGCCAGCGGGAGAAGGGUUGUUAAGGAACUCGGCAAGUUGACCCCGUAACUUCGGGAGAAGGGGUGCUUACGAAGGUAAGCCGCAGAGAAUAGGCCCAAGCGACUGUUUAGCAAAAACACAGCUCUAUGCUAAAUCGAAAGAUGACGUAUAUGGGGUGACACCUGCCCGGUGCUGGAAGGUUAAGAGGAGAUGUGAGAGCAUUGAAUUGAAGCCCCAGUAAACGGCGGCCGUAACAAUAACGGUCCUAAGGUAGCGAAAUUCCUUGUCAGGUAAGUUCUGACCCGCACGAAUGGUGUAACGAUUUGGGCACUGUCUCAACAACCUACCCGGCGAAAUUGUAGUAUCGGUGAAGAUGCCGGUUACCCGCGACUAGACGGAAAGACCCCAUGGAGCUUCACUGUAGCUUAAUAUUGAAUUUUGGUAUUUCAUGUACAGGAUAGGUGGGAGACUGGGAAAUACAGGCGUCAGCUUGUAUGGAGUCACUGUUGGGAUACCACUCUUGAGGUGCUGAAAUUCUAACCUGCGUCUUUGAAUCAAGACGGGGGACAUUGUUAGGUGGGCAGUUUGACUGGGGCGGUCGCCUCCAAAAGAGUAACGGAGGCGCUCAAAGGUUCGCUCAGCAUGGACGGAAACCAUGCCAAAGAGUGCAAACGCAAAAGCGAGCCUAACUGCGAGACUGACGGGUCGAGCAGUAACGAAAGUUGGAGUUAGUGAUCCGGCGGUAUGUGAGUGGAAAUGCCGUCGCUCAACGGAUAAAAGCUACCCUGGGGAUAACAGGCUGAUCUCCCCCAAGAGUCCACAUCGACGGGGAGGUUUGGCACCUCGAUGUCGGCUCAUCGCAUCCUGGGGCUGAAUUCGGUCCCAAGGGUUUGGCUGUUCGCCAAUUAAAGCGGUACGCGAGCUGGGUUCAGAACGUCGUGAGACAGUUCGGUCCCUAUCUGUCGUGGGCGUAGGAUAUUUGAAAGGAGCUGUCCCUAGUACGAGAGGACCGGGAUGGACGCACCUCUGGUGAACCAGUUGUCACGCCAGUGGCACGGCUGGGCAGCUAAGUGCGGAACGGAUAAACGCUGAAAGCAUCUAAGCGUGAAGCCGACCUUAAGAUAAGAUAUCCGUUCUUCGGAAUAAGACCCCUUGUAGACUACGAGGUUGAUAGGCUUAAAGUGUAAGCAUGGUGACAUGUUUAGCUAGCAAGUACUAAUCGGUCGAUUGCUUUUUCA